UGACCUGCGCCCUCUGCUCCAAUCUCCAUCGACUCUGACUCUGCUAGCUGCUGCUGCUGUUCUGGUGCUGUGGUUUCGUUUCUGAAUUCAGAGUGCGUGCGUUGUUGUUCCGUCGGUCUGUGUAGUUAGUGGAUGGCGAUGGAUCUGAAUGCAGUUAGUUCGUCAGAGUGCGUGUGUUGUCUGUGGAAGGAGAUAAAUAUGAAUGCAAUGGGAUUGUUGGUUUCUUCUAUUUGAAUCUGGUCACCACCAACUUGUUAUGCCACUAAAAAAUUUCUCAGCAGAGGAAGUUAGUUGCGGUAAUUUUCGUUUGGAUUUUCAUACCAUGCGCGCACAGAGAUCGAAAUAGGUAGGGGACUCUGUUUCUAUUUCGUUGUGCUGUCUGUUCCCAAACAUAGCUCCUCUGCAGCCGUAUGUCAACGAGGUGGAAGGGGAUGGCGGUCCAACUGACUCCAUCUGAAGAGGUGCUGCUGUUUAGAUCCUACUCCCUACAUGCCAGCUGGAGUAGCUGAAGUUUAUCUCUGAUGCAUCAUGAUCCUACUCCCUACUCUUGGCGUUGGAAUGCUGUACUUGGCGCCUGAUCAUGGAACCAGAUCCUCUAACAUUGCCAAGGAAAGUCAUCGUGCUACCGUGUUUGCCUAGUGUAAAAUAAAGAAAAAAAGUUAGGGACUGUUAUUAGGUAUAGUUAGUAGGUUGUUUACUCUUGGUAUUUACUGUAGAUAUAAAUAAUUUAAUUUUAAUUUUAUUUCACCAUCAAUUUGUUUGUACUCCCUCCAUUUCACAAUGUAGUGCUUCCUUUAUUCUUGUGCUUCAACUUUGACCGUAAAUUUAACUAACAAGACCGAUUGCGGCGGGAGCAAAAAUUAUAUCAGUGAAUUCGUAUUCGAAAGAAGUUUUCAAUUAUAUAAUUUUUUCUCCUGCCGUAGUUGGUUUCGUUGGUUAAAUUUAUGGUCAAAGUUAGAUCUCGGAAAGCGCGGGCGCACUAUAUUUUGGAAUGGAGGAAGUAUGUAAUUAAUAUAAAUGUACACAAUAGAUCAUCAAUUUGCAAAUUAAUUUAAAUCAUUUUAGCCAUAAUCAUAUGAAUAUAAAGAAGAAAAGUUAGCGCAUUGUACCUUCUCUAACUUUCCUUCUCAAUGUUAGAGGAUCCGGUUCCCCUGAUCAUGGGCUUCAUGAUGAAAAGGAAGCCGGAAGUGAUCUUUUCUGUAAUAAUAGUUGGUUACCCAGAAACGUUCUCUGAAUUUAUGUGUUAUUUUUGUAAUCAGAUACACUGUACUCCCUCCGUUCCUAAAUAAGUAGAUGAUGUUUGGUAGUUUAAUUUGAACUACCAAAACGUCAUGUAUUUAGGAGCGGACGAAGUAUGUUCUAAAAUUUGGUGAUGUCAAUUUUUUUAGUUCAGUUAAAUCAAAUGGUUAUAGAGUUGCACAUUGCUCAAUAUAAAAGCUCGCUAACUUGUAGUGACGUGAGAGAGAGAAAAAAAAAUCUUACAAUCAUCUUAUGCUACUACUUUGUCAGCUGCUAUUUUGCUUCCCCUAAAAAAAGUUGUUAUUUUGCUACAGGGACAUAAUUUUUAUCCUCUCUGAUGAUGUGUGCCCAAGGCCUCCAUGAGCUGGCUAACAUUUGAAUUUCAACCCUUUCAAAAGUUCUCUUAACAAAUGGACCUUUUCACUUCCUCACAAAAAAAAGACACAGAUUUUGAUCCAGUCAAGGAUAGGCCGAAUUAAAGUGAAACUAACAUUGUUUUCGAUAUGGUUCUACUACCUCUUAAGAAAUAAAGCAUCUCAAUUAUUCGUCUGAAAGACGGGGUGAAUUAUCACAUAGAGUUGGAACACGUCUCUUUACUGAUUGAUAGUAAGGUGUGGAAACCUUAAUGCUCGUCUAAUUAGGAUGGAAAUAUGAUAGUGCACAACAAGAUUGCUCAUACGAGGCAAAUUCUGGAAUUGUGUAUUGGAGUCAUUCAUUUCAAUUAUCCGCAGCUCAUAAUAAAGAUGACCUCUUUCUUACAAGCUGCGACAUUUGCUCGGGGCGAGCAAACCUUUUAUCUUGGGGGAGUUGAUUAGUCCAAUUUAUGUGAUAAUUUUGAUAGUUAUGUUGUGCCUACAUGUUAGGCUUUGAGGAGUUUUACCGCGUUCGUGCACUAAAUUUUCUCGGUAUUCCGCAGUGACGUCCUUUGGAGUAAAUAAAGUUUUAUGAAAGGAAUCCUAGAUAAUAGUGAACUGACCUGGACAAACAUAACCAAGGGGACAAGGGCUAGUUGCCAUGCAGCAAGAAGGUCAAGACAUAGCUGCAAAGCAAUAUGUUGCUUCAAUAAAUAUGUUGUAUAAUGAUAGAUUUACUAAGAAUUUGUUCAAUAAAUAUAUUGUUUUAACGAGUUGAAAGCUGUCGUUUUAGUAGUACUUGGAGCCCCCACCCGUAAUUAUCCCAUAAAACUCCAUCACUCAGAAAUAUGACGGGGAAAAGAAACUGAAAACAUUGAACAACAAAGAGGACAGUCGAUGCUAACCGACGUAAAACACAAUAGCUGCAGAGCAUAGGAUAAGAUGACCGACGGAGGAGAGGAGGUGGAGAAACAACAUCCGGACAUGAAGCCAGGACCGACACGAGGGGCGGCGCCGGGUGAAACAAGACAGACGGUGAUGGUGCGAGGGGGGAGGGGAGGAAGACGGAUCGGAGGAACAAAAGAAAAGAUACGUUAUAAAACCUGAAAUGUUUAAGGACUAAAGUGUAAAAGGAAAAAUAAUAAACAGAGAAAAUUUGGUUUAGGCAAAUAAAUAGAGAAAGUUUUUUUUGAGACAAAUAAACAGAGAAAGUGAAAACUUUUUUUUUGAAGCUAAGAAACUGAAAACUGGAAACAGGAAAACACGCGGCCGCUCUAUUUGGCUCUGUUCGGAAAAAAAAAGUGAAAGUGAAAAAUGCAAUUUCUAAUAUUUUAGGAAAAAAAAACAGAAAGCAAAGUCCAAGAAUAUUAGUAUAUGCUUGGCCCGCUUGUAUGCCGAGGCUUCAGCCCAGUCCAACCAACAGCGCCAACCCCCCACCACACCCGUUCCGCCGUCGCUCCGCCUCGUUUUCAAGCUGCCGCCGGAGAAGGACGCAUGCGAAGCACCGCCGCCGACCGCAUCGCCGUCGCCGUCGUCUCCAACGCACGCCUUCUCUACAAGGCAUGCUAGCUUUCCCCUUGUUUGUUUCUUGAUCCCCACUUGAUUUUUUUUCCAUUAGAAUUUGUUGCUUGCGUCAACGUUUCAUCGUCCUGAUCGAUUGAUACGCUGGCUGAACUUUGUUAUUAUUAGAGAUAGAGCCGCAGCUGUUCUCUACUUUGUAGUACAGUCCAUACGUCUUGCCACCAUUAAUUGCUGCGAGAAAGAGUUCCAGAUCGCGUUGCCACUUUGAUAGGGCCGGGCUAGAUUAGAUAUUUAGACUCCCACUUGAUUUAUUUUCUGUAUGUAAGAAAGAAUUUUGAACAUACUGCUAUGGGCCCUAGAUAUUGGAUCGAUGGUAAAUUGGGAAUCAUGGGAUCCAUUGAUCCUCUAUGACUAAGACUACCUCUAUCAGAUACAGAUAGAACUGUAUAGCUGUUCUCUUUGGUCUAUAUAUACAGAUGGAUGUGUUUUCCAUUGCCUUCAAGUAAUCAAUGGUAGCUUAGGGACAUGACAGACUGAGGCAAUGUUAUAAAUAUUUACCCCAUUUGAUUUUCGAUGUAAUUGUCAGCAGCAUAUUGUUUUUCAUGUCAGAGCGCAUAUAUGUUAUCGCUUCUCUACCUGUUGCCUUUUCAAAUGUUCACGUCAUUCUUCUAAUGUUUUUUCUUUUGAUUCAAAAUUUCUUUCAGAGAAGCUGCAGUCGCGGGUAACUCCAAGGUCUGCUGUGUUUGGGUCUGUCCCGUCUGAGGCUCUCAGCUAUGUCCACUCUUCAAGGUUGGCCAGACCUCCCGGAUGACCUGCUUCAUUCCAUUGUUCCUCGAUUGGGAUCCUUCCUUGACCUUCUUGCUUUUGCUGCCGCCUGCUCCUCUUGGCGUGCUGCCUUCUCCUCCUAUCCAUCCAAACACACACUCUUGCAAAUGUUGCCACCUCUCCUCCUCCAACCUGAUGUUCAUGAGUGCCCUCCUCGUCCUCGCCCAUUUAGCAACAGCCUCGUGCCUACACAUUCAUGCCAUGUCACUGAUUUAGCCAACCAAGGUACCUACAUGCGUUGUCAGAUUCCCCGGUUUUCUCCUUUUGGUGAGAGCAAAUCCCCACAAAGUCCUCUAGAUAGUUCUUAUUUUGGGGGUGUUUCCUAUGGUCAUCUCAUCUUGUUUAACCAAAAUCAAUCAUGUCUUGUUAUUGAUGUCUUUACUGGUGUUAGUUUCUCAACUCCGAAACUACCGGUCGAUGAAAACACUUUCCUGGACCAUGCUUCCCUCACGGCUCCUCUGACGUCACCCAACUCAUAUCUCAUGGUCACCAAAGGACGCCACUAUUUCUUUUGGCGUGUUGGUAGUAAAUCUUGGUUGAGACGUUCUCUUCACAAUGGAACGAUCGAGAAGGUCAUGGUUUUCAAAGGACAAAUAUUUGGCAUGGAUAAUGACUGCAGGCUCAUUAUCAUGAACUUGGUACCACGGAUCCGAAUACAGAAAAUAACAGUUGAUCCUGGUGAAAGCAUGCACAACAAAUGGCAUCUUCCCCACCCAUGGCUUGUUGCGUGCGGCGAUAUGCUUCUCCUGGUUGGUUGUCAUCGAUCUUUUCCAUCAACAGGGGAUACGUUUGAAGCUUUCCGCCUCGACCUAACGAGUGAACCUGCAAAGUGGAUGAAGGUGGAAAAGCUAGAAAAUUGGGCAAUCUUCAUCAGCACAGACGACAGAAGCCAGCCAUUGUGUUGCAUGAACCCAGAGAGAUGGGGAGGGAGGAGCAAUUCUAUAUACUUCUAUUUCCAUGAUUCUAAUAAUUGGAUCAAUUUUGAGCUGGACAAGCCACUGCAGGGAAAUGCCUCUACUCCAACAAUCUUUAUCUGCAGAGGCCGUGCCAGUAUGAUGCAACCUACAUGGGUUGUGCCUAGUAUGUUCUAUUCGUGACCUGCUUGAUGCAUGGUCUAUUCAUGACCUGCUUGAUGCAUGGUUAUUACUGCUCGCCGUGGUAGCUUCCCCUAUAAGAUGCCUUGACUUUUAUAUAGGUCUAGCCCAAAGAAAUUUUGAACCUUUGAUAUAGUUGUAGUAUAACCAUGUCAGAUGUAAUUGGAAUAUGGAGUUGUCGGAGCCAAUUUUUAGCCUCUUAGCUCAGCAUGCAUGAAAAUGUUGUUUCAAUUUAUUUUAAGCAAGCUCUCAGCUUGUUCCGAAAAUUUGCUCUUCGAGUAGAGAACAGAACAGUGGCUCAUUUGCAGUUAUGUAGGAGAUGGUCACGGUAGCCGGAGCACUGAGGAUUUUGCAGUUAGUUCAUCCUUGAGGGCUUACUCAAGCUUAUGCGCAUAUAAGACAUGUGUUUAGACCUUAUAAAAGAUGUGUUUAUGCUAGCAUAAGGGCUUAGGGGAUUUCUAACCGAUCCUCAAUAACCAGUUAGAGGAGUAAAAACCCGGUUUUACUUCUCUAACCGGCACCUAGCCGAUCCCCAAUCAACGCUAGUGGAGGAUAAAUUAUCCUCAGCCGCGCCACGCCUCCCUAUAUUUACUCCAUUAUACGGUGGUCGAGUAAAAAAAAUCUCACUUCGUCUCCUCUUCCUCUCCGCUUCCUCCGCUUCUUCUUCUCCCUAUAUUUACUCCAUCAUACGGUGGUCAAGUAAAAAAUGUCCUUACUCAAGCUUAUGCGCUUUCUCACCUCUCAGUUAGCCUUGCUGUUCACUACUCUAUUUUUUUUGCGGGUGCACUACUCAUUCUUUUGCUGUAACGGGCAGGUUUGAACUGCAGUUUUGAGGCAUGUUGGGAGUGGGGCUUUGUGAAUUUUGUGCGCGAGCAAGGGGUUCUUCUUCAGGUGCAUGGUUUCGUUUCAGGUUCGCGUGUCAAACUGAUGACGGAACCAUGCAUAUCGUGUUUUAUGCAAUAUAUAAACUUGAAUAAUAUCAUGCGAAAAGUCUGCCCCAGCAGUCGAUGGUUGUGUUUCCUCGGUUUUGCCACGGAAGCUGGAAUGGGUAGUGUAAUUUUUGAAACUGACGCCGCCGAUCUGAAAGAAGCGGUAAUGACCAUGAUCUUUCAGCGAAGAGGCACUAAUUUCGCCUGCAAAGUUGUAUAUGUGUUCUAAGUGACUAGAGCAUCUCUAGCAGAUCUUGUAAAUCGGGUCAUUUGAAAUAAUAACAACCAAUAUAGCGGACGAGUGCGUUUUUUUUGCCUAAAACAUAUCCAGCAAAAUCAUCCGUCCCCUAUUUUUUUUUGGAAUCCCGCAUAGUUUGGGCCAUUUCCUCUAUAUAUGCGGAAAUCAGACCUGUUUUUGUGGAUUCCUGUAUCGCACAGAAGCAGUUGGCGGGAGUGAAACUUCCGCCCUAGCUUGGCCGGCUGCGUCCACUGCAGGAGCCCGUCCUGGCCGUUGCGUCCCCGUGCUCAAGGUCCGCUGUGCCCCGAGCUCUGUCGUAGGAGCCCGUCCUGGCCGCCACGCUCCUGAGCUCCACCGCACCAACCCGUCCCAGACGCCGCGUCCCCGUGCUCGAGGUCCACCGCGCAAGCCCAUUCCGGCCUCCACGUCCCCGAGCUUCGCCGCAGGAGCCCGUCCGGGCCGCCGCGCCCCCAAGCUCCGCUGUAGGACCCCCUCCCGGCCGCCGCGCCCCCGAGCUCCCCUGCGGGAGCCCGUCCUGGCCGCCGCGUCCCAGUGCUCGAGGUCUGCCACGCCCUUGAGCUCUGCCACGUCCCCGUGCUCGAGGUCCACCACGCCCUUGAGCUCCGCCGCGUCCCUGAUCAGCGUGCUUGCAUCGAAUGGCUUGCUCACAGUGAUAAAAACACCUAUUUUCUCCAUCCAAGGGCGAGCCAGCGCUGCAGGAAAAAUCAAAUUAAGUUUCUCCAAAGACCGGAUGUCAGUGUAACUGAGGACAACACGGAGAUGGAAGAGAUGGUCACGAUUUUUUACUGCACACUCUACACCUCUGGAGGUGUGACUGAUAUUGAUCAAGUUCUAAAUACAGUUCCAGGGAAGGUUACUCCGGCGAUGAAUGAUAUUCUUAAUGCAAAGUACACUCAGGAGGAGAUUAAGGUAGCCAUGUUCCAGAUGUUCCCAACAGAAGCACCAGGUCCAGAUAGGUUCUCAGCCACUUCUUUCAGCGUCACUGGGAUGUUUGUGGGACUGUUGUCAGAACAGUGAUACUUCGAAUUAUUAAUGGAACUGAGCUAGUGAAGAGCAUUAAUGAGACUAUUUUAGUGCUAAUACCAAAGGUAAAGAACCCCACAUUAUUGUCUCAGAUCAGGCCAAUUUCUCUAUGUAAUGUUUUAUGCAAGAUUGUUUCCAAAGUCAUAUCAAACAGAUUGAAGCAAGUUCUACUUGACAUCAUGCAUGUCUGAUGAGCAGCCAACUUUUGUUCCAGGUAGACUUAUCAUGGAUAACAUAAUCAUUGCUUAUGAAUGUCUUCAUUUUAUGAAAAGAAAUAGGGCCAAGAGAAAUAGGUUUUGUGAACUCAAGUUGGAUAUGAUGAAAGCCUAUGAUAGAGUGGAGUGGGACUAUUUACAUGCAAUAAUGAUAAAGCUCGGCUUCACAAUGAGGUGGGUUAAUAUAGUCUUGAGUCUGGCGAUAUCAGUUAAGCUCUCAGUUUUAUUCAAUGGGAAGAAGCUACAAUAGUUUACACCAUCACAUGGUAUUCGACAGGGAACCCAAUUUUUCCAUAUCUAUUCUUGAUUGUAGCAGAGGGCCCUUCGUGCCUCUUAAAAUUUAUCGAUGAGUCAUCCAACCUUACUGGCAUUCGGAUGGCCCCAUUGACGCCACCGGCUAACCAUUUAUUAUAUUCACUGAUGAUAGCCUCGUGUUUUUAAAGCUAGUCUAACUGGGGCUAAUGAGGUAAACUUGUUGAAUAGGUAUUGUCGGGCUUCUGGAGAACACAUAAACAAUGAGAAAUCUUUGAUCUAUUUCAGUUUGGGCUGUCCGAAAAAGUGUGAGGUUGGAAGUUAAGAACGUACUACAAGUUCCAAAUGAGUCACUGAGUGCAAAAUAUAUAAGCCUUCUUGUUGGGAAACGUUGCAUGGAAAACAUAAAAAUUCUACGCACACACAAGAUCUAUCUAUGGAGAUGCAUAGUAACUAGAGGGAAGAGUUUUUUUACGUACCCCCGUAGACCGUAAGUGGAAGCUUUUAGUAAUGCGGUUGAUGUAGUUGAACUUGUUCGUGAUCCAACCGAUCGAGUACCGAACGUACGACACCUCCGCGUUCAGCAUACGUUCAGCUCGGUGACGUCCUCGCCUUCUUGAUCCAACAAGACGACGAAGUAGUGGAUGAGUUCCGGUAGCACGCCAGCGUGGUGAUAGAGGUGGUGAUGCUAUCUCCGCAGGGUUCGCCUAAGCAUUACGAAAAUAUGACCGAGGGACAAAACUAUGAAGAGGGACACCUCACAUAGCUAAGAGAUUGUCGUGGUUAUGUGUGGCGCCCCCUCCCACAUAUAUAUAGGUGGGGGGAAGAGGGGAGUAGCCAGGAGGCGCCCCAAGUAGUAGGGCCGAAUCCUACUUGGGCUCUUGCCUUGGCCGCCCCCCUUACCAUAUAUGCCGGAGGGGGAAAGGAAAGUGGGGAGAGGGAAGGAAGGGGGAGGCCGAAUCCCCCUCCUGCCUUUCUCCCAUAGGCCGGCUGCCAUAGGGGGGUGCACCAGCCCCUUGUGGGCUGGUGUGCUCCCCUCUAAUGGCCCAAUAGGCCCAUCAUCCUCCCGGGGGUGCCCGGAACCCCUUCCGAUGAUCCGAUGACUACCCGGUGCACUACGAAACUCUUUCGGUGUCUGAAUAUCAUCGUCUUAUAUAUCAAUAUUUACCUCCGGACCAUUCCGGAGCUCCUCGUCAUGUCUGUGAUCUCAUCUGGGACUUCGAACAAUAUUUGGUCACCAAAUCAUAUACUCCCUCCGUUCACUUUUGUAAGUCGUUUCAGACAACCCAAAAUAGGCUGUUUUGCACAUUGUCUGAAAUCUCUUCAAGGUCUUAUAAAAGUGAACAGAGGGAGUAACUCAUAUAACACCAUAUCGUCAAUGAACGUUAAGCAUGCGGAUCCUACGGGUUCGAGAACUAUGUAGACAUGACCGAGACACCUCUCCGGUUAAUAACCAACAGCGGAACCUAAACGCCCAUUUUGGCUCCUACAUAUUCCAUGAAGAGCUUUAUCGGUCGAACCUUAUGACAACAUACGUAAUUCCCUUUGUCCGUCGGUAUGUUACUUGCCCGAGAUUCGAUCGUCGGUAUCUUCAUACCUAGUUCAAUCUCGUUACCGGCAAGUCUCUUUACUUGUUCGGUAAUACAUCAUCUCGUAACUAACUCCUUAGUCACUUUGCUUGCAAGCUUCUUGUGAUGUGUAUUACCGAGUGGGCCUAGAGAUACCUCUCUGAUAUAUGGAGUGACAAAUCCUAAUCUCGAUCUAUGCCAACUCAACAAACACCUUCGGAGAUACCUGUAGAGCAUCUUUAUGAUCACCCACUUACGUUUGUGAUGUUUGAUAGCACACAAGGCAUUCCUCCGGUAUCCAGAAGUUGCAUAAUCUCAUAGUCUAAGGAAUAUGUAUUUGACAUUAAGAAAGCAAUAACAAUAAACUGAAUGAUCAAAUGCUAAGCUAACGGAUGGGUCUUGUCCAUCACAUCAUUCUCCUAAUGAUGUGAUCCUGUUACCAAGUGACAACACAUGUCUAUGGUUAGGAAACCUUAACCAUCUUUGAUCAACGAGUUAGUCUAGUAGAGGCUCACUAGGGACACGGUAUUUGUUUAUAUAUCCACACAUGUAUCUAAGUUUCCAAUCAAUACAAUUAUAGCAUAAAUAAUAAUCUUUUAUCAUGAAUAAGGAAAUAUAAAAUAACAACUUUAUUAUUACCUCUAGGGCAUAUUUCCUUCACUUCCAUCAUGUGGGGUCAUCAAAGAACGGUUCAUUUAAGUACCUGAUAUGUCUCCAAUGUAUCUAUAAUUUUUGAUUGUUUCAUGCUAUUAUAUUAUCAAUCUUGGAUGCUUUAUAUGCAAUUUUAUAUCAGUUUUAGGAACUAACCUAUUAAUUCAGUUCCCAGUGCCAGUUCCUAUCUUCUGCAUGUUUUUAGUUUUUUUAGAAAAUCAAUACCAAACAAAGUCUAGAUACGAUGAAACUUUACGGUGAUUUGUUCUGGACCAUAUGGGACCCUAGAAGCUUCGGGAGGAGGCCAGAAGAUCUACGGGAGAGCCACAAGCUCACACGACGCGCCCCGAGGGGGGGCACCAUCUGAGCUUGUGGGUCCCACGUAGCUCCGUUUGACUUAAUGACAAGGCUAUAAAUUACAUAAAUCCCAAAACCAAAAUAGAGCCGUCCGAAACAAUUUUUUCACCGCCGCAAGUUUCUGUUCUUCCGCGAUCCCAUCUGAAGGCAUUUUUUGAUACUCUGCCGGAGGGGGAAUCAUUCACGGAGGGCUUUUAUAUCAACUUUUCUGCACCACUAAUGAUGUGUGAGUAGAUACCUACGGGUGCAUAGUGAUUAGCUAGAUGGUUUCUUCUCUCUCUUUGAUUUUCAAUUACAAUGUUCUUUUUGGAGAUCGAUCCGACGUAAUCUUCUUGCGGUGUGUUUGUUGGGAUCCGAUGAAUUGUGGGUUUAUGAUUGUAAUAUUCAUUAAAAGUAAUUGAGUUUUUUCUGAACUUUAUUAUGGAUGAUUAUUAUAUCUUUAUAUUUCUCUCUGAUCUACCCAUUUGGUUUGGCCAACUAGGCUGAUUUGUCGUCGAUGGGAGAGGUGCUUUAUAGUGGGUUCAAUCUUGCGGUGUCCUCGCCAGUGAGUAGGGGUAUCGAGGCACGUAUUUGUAUUGUUGCCACUAAGGGUAAAACAAUGGAUUUAAUCAUAUUGCUUGGUUUUAUUCUAUCUACAUUAUAUCAUCUUUCUUAAAGCAUUACUCUAUUUAUUAUGAACUUAAUACAAUAGAUGCAUGCUGGACAACGGUCGAAUGGUGGAGUGAUAGUAGUAGAUGUAGAAUCGUUUCAGCCUACUUGUCAUGGACAUAAUGCCUAUAUAUAUGAUCAUUGCCAUAAAUAUCAUCAUAACUAUGACCUUUUCUAUUAAUUGCCCAAUUGUAAUUUGUCUACCCACCAUAUACUAUUUUUCUAAGAGAGAAGCCUCUAGUGUAAACUAUGGCCCCCGAGUCUACUUAAAUCAUAUUGCAAAAAAACCUAGUUUUACUCUUUUUAUUUUACUUUGCAGUUUACUUAUCUGUCGUUAUCAGAUUUGAUCCUUGCAAGUAACGAGUUCAAGGGGAUUGACAGACAACCCUCUUGCCCGCAUUGGAUGCAAGUAUUUGCUCUUGUGUGUGUAGAUAAUGUUCACUAGGAAUUUGCAUGGUUCUCCUAUUGAUUCAAUAACCCUGGUUCUCAUUGAUGGAAAUACUAUCUACUACUAUAUUGCUUCAUCUUCCUCUUCGGAGAAAAUCCCAACGCAGCUCACAAGUAGCAGUACCUUAAGGACUACCUAUGGAGUAAAGUGCAAGGGUGAAUUGAACAAACUAUGACAUUGGCAGGUGAAGUGGUCUUGGUAAAGGCGGUUGCCUUGCAGCACCUGUGUAUUCUAUGUCAUGUUUGAAGCUUCCGUGAGGUUUGUGUGAACAUCUUAAAAUGUUGAUAAGGAAGUUUUGGUGGGGAAGUAAGGAUGGAAAACAAAAACCUAAUUGGGUUUCUUGCGAAGCCAUGACCCAACCCAAGAGUAUGGGAGGAUUGGGCUUUAAAGAUUUUGGGUUGUUUAACUUGGCCUUACUAGCUAAGCAGGCAUGGAGAACUUACGAAAUCCUCAAUCUCUAAGUGCUAGAAUCUUGAAAGGGGUUUACUUUCCAAAUGGAACCAUCCUGAGUGCCGAUCCUAGGAGCCAUCCUAGCCAAAUAUGGCGAGCUAUCAUUGGAGGCUGUGACAUAUUAAAGUUGGGUCUCAUUAGGCGGAUUGGCGGCGGAGAAUCAACUAACAUAUGGGUAGAUGCUUGGAUACCUACAGAUGUUAUGACGAGGCCUUAUGGGAGGCGUGUCAACAACAAUUUUGGGAAAGUAUCCGAACUCAUAGAUCAAACUUCGACCACAUGGAAUAUGGCAAUGUUGGAGGAGGUCUGCCUCCCAAUUGAUAUACCAUGUAUCUUGAGUAUCCUACUCUGUACUUCUGAUAUGGUGGACUCUUGGGCAUGGAAUUUUAAGAAAUGGAACCUACUCGGUAAGAUCAACAUAUCAUAUGAUGGUACAAACUGAAUUAAGAAGGGGAGCCUGGACUGAUGGCAAAACAGAUUCUUCUAGUACAUAAUAUGAUGAAGAGUCUUGGAAACUUCUAUGGAACACUCCGAUUCCUAGAAAGAUUCGGAUGGUCUUAUGGCGUCUCGCUAAACACUCGCUCCCAAUAGAGGACAUUAGAGAGAUUAGGAAUAUGUCAUCAUCAAGUUUGGGUGGCCUGCGUGGAGCCGAAGACUCUUGGCGUCAUUCACUACUUGCAUGCUCAAUGGCAAGAUGUUUGUGGGCCCUGUUGGAUGGAGAACUCGCAGAACAUCUUUGCGAGACUACCGAACCGAGUGCCAAGUAAUGGAUCUUUUUGAUGAUAGACACGUUAUUGCAUGCGACAUUUGUUAAGCUAGUUGUAACACUGUGGGCAAUAUAGUGAGCCAGAAGGAAAGCAAUCCAUGAGGAGUUGUUCCAAAGCCCUCCAGCCACACACCAAUUCAUUACCAGGUUAAUCCUAGAGCUUGAACUUAUGCCAAAGAAAAUUCGCAGUGCCCGAAUCGGCAGGCAAGUCGAACUACCCGACCAAAAGCUCCUCCACCCAGUUACUCAAAGAUCCAUGUUGAUGCUUGUUGAGGAGAGGAGAAGGAAUGGGAUUCAACACACUUCGAUUAUGCUCAGAGGCUGGGUUUAAGUAUAGGUUGCUGUUCUCAGCUGAGCCAAGAUCGUGGGUAUGCCACUACCUCAGGACGUGCACCACUAGCUAUACAACUGCUGCACGAUCCGUACUAUACCGUAUGGUAAACUAUACAAGGUGCAUACGGUAUAUAACUACCUAGUCUAACACCCCUCGCAGUCGUGACGUCGGUACCAGCGACGCAAAGACUGGACCGGAAUUCAGAGAAAACUUCCGUCGACAGGCCUUUGGUCAUGAUAUCGGUGAGCUGUUGGCGAGUGGGGAUGUGGAGAACACGGAACUCGCCGAGCGCCACCCGUUCACGGACGAAGAGGAUGUCCAGCUCGAUGUGCUUCAUGCGGCGGUGAUGGACUGGAUUGGCAGACAGGUACACGACCGACACAUUGUCGCAGUAGACGAGCGUGGCCUUGUCGACGGGGCAGAAGAGCUCGCCGAGCAGCUGCCGGAGCCAGAUACAUUCAGCGAUGGCGUUGGCGACGCCGGGGUAUUCAGCCUCUGCACUGGAGCGGGAGACGACGGCCUAGCAUUUGGACGACCAGGAGACGAGCGCGUCACCGAGGUAGAUGCAGAAGCCGAAGGUAGAGCGGCGGGUGUCUGGGCAGCCCGCCCAGUCCGCGCCCGUGAACGCGCGCAGGUCCAGAGUGCGUGAGGCACGGAGAUGGAGCCCGAGCGCCGGCGUGCUGCGCACGUACCGCAACACACGCUUGAUCAACCCGAGAUGGCACUCCCGAGGAUCAUGCAUAUGCAAGCAGAUCUAUUAGACGGCGUAGGCGAGCUCGGGGCGUGUGAUCGUCAGGUACUGCAGGGCACCGGCGAUGCUGCGGUAGGCGGAGGGGUCGGCGACGCGAGGCCCAUCGGCGGUGGGCAGCUUGCUCUUCGUGUCGAUCGGCGUGGGCGAGGGCCGACAUGUGUCCAUGCCAGCGCGGUCCAGGAUAUCGGCAGCAUACUGCUGCUGACAAAGGAAGAAGCCGAUUGGCGAGCGCGUGAGGCGGAUGCCGAGGAAGAAGUGAAGAGCCCCGAGAUCCUUCAUGGCAAAUUCAUCGGUGAGCUGGGCGACAACGUGGCGAAGAGCGGCGGCAGAUGAUGCGGUGAGCACGAUGUCAUCGACGUAGAGAAGGAGGAGCGCAGUGUCGCAGCCGUGGCGACAAACGAGGAGCGAAGAGUCGGACCGCGUGGCGACGAAGCCGGUAGUCUUGAGGAAGCCAGCAAAUCGAAGAAACCAUGCGCGCGGCGCUUGCUUCAAGCCGUAGAGGGACUUGGAUAGGCGACAGACGUGGUGUGGGCGGUCGGCGUCAACGAAGCCAGCAGGCUGAAGGUAGAAGACCUCCUCAUCCAGCGUACCAUGGAGGAAUGCAUUGGAUACGUCAAGCUGAUGGACCGGCCAGACACGCGAGGCAGCCAGGGUGAGCACGGUGCGGAUGGUAGCGGGCUUGACGACCAGUGAGAAGGUCUCGCCGUAGUCGAUGCCGGCACGCUGGCGAAAACCUCGCACAACCCAGCGGGCCUUGUAACGCUCGAGGGAGCCGUCGACGUUGUACUUGUGCUUGAAGACCCAUUUGCCGGUGAUGAGGUUGGCACCGGGCGGACUGCUACGUCUUGAGCUUGCAUUGGUUUUCCCCGAAGAGGAAGGGAUGAUGCAGCAGAGUAGCGUAAGUAUUUCCCUUAGUUUUUGAGAACCAAGGUAUCAAUCUAGUAGGAGGCCACGCGCAAGUCCCUCGUACCUACACAACACAAAGAGCUCAGCGCAACCAAUGCGAUUAGGGGUUGUCAAUCCCUUCACGGUCACUUACAGAAAUGAGAUCCGAUAAAUAAUAUUUUUGGUAUUUUUGAUAUAAAGAUGCAAAGUGAAAAGUAAAAGGCAAAGUAAAAACAAAACAAGAUUAAAGUGAUGGAGAUUGAUAUGAUGAUAAUAGACCCGGGGGCCAUAGGUUUCACUAGUGGCUUCUCUCGAGAGCAUAAGUUUUCUACGGUGGGUGAACAAAUUACUGUUGAGAAAUUGACAGAAUUGAGCAUAGUUAUGAGAAUAUCUAGGCAUGAUCAUGUAUAUAGGCAUCACGUCCGUGACAAGUAGAUCGAAACAAUUCUGCAUCUACUACUAUUACUCCACUCAUCGACGCUAUCCAGCAUGCAUCUAGAGUAUUAAGUUAAAAACAGAGUAACACUUUAAGCAAGAUGACAUGAUGUAGAGAGAUAAAUUCAUGCAAUAUGAAAUAAACCCCAUCUUGUUAUCCUCGAUGGCAACGAUACAAUACGUGUCUUGCUGCCCCUUCUGUCACUGGGAAAGAACACCGCAAGAUCGAACCUAAAGCUAAGCACUUCUCCCAUGGCAGGAACUACCAAUCUAGUAGGCCAAACCAAACGGAUAAUUCGAAGAGACUUGCAAAGAUAACCAAUCAUACAUAAAAGAAUUUAGAGAAGAUUCAAAUAUUGUUCAUAGAUAGACUUGAUCAUAAACCCACAAUUCAUCGGUCUCAACAAACACACCGCAAAAGAAGAAGAUUACAUCGAAUAGAUCUCCACAAGAGAGGGGGAGAACAUUGUAUUGAGAUCCAAAAAGAGAGAAGAAGCCAUCUAGCUACUAACUAUGGACCCGAAGGUCUGAAGUAAACUACUCACACUUCAUCGGAGGGGCUAUGAUGAUGUACAAGCCCUCCAUGAUGACGACCCUCUCCGGCGGAGCUCCGGAACAGGCCCCAAGAUGGGAUCUCGUGGAUACAGAAAGUUGCAGCGGUGGAAUUAGGUUUUUGGCUCCUGUUCUGAUCGUUUGGGGGUACGUGGGUAUAUAUAGGAGGAAGGAGUACAUCGGUGGAGCACCGAGGGGCCCACGGGGCAGGGGGCACACCCUGUAGGGGGGGGGGGGGCGCCCCUACCCUCGUGACCGCCUCCGGUACUUCUUGGAGUAGGGUCCAAGUCUCCUGGGUCUUAUCCGAGAAGAAAAUCACGUUCCAAAAAGGUUUUUUCUGUUUGGACUCCGUUUGAUAUUCUGUUUCUUCAAAACACUGAAAUAGGCAAAAACAGCAAUUCUGGGCUGGGCCUCCGGUUAAUAGGUUAGUCCCAAAAAUAAUAUAAAAGUGGAAAAUAAAGCCCAAUAUAGUCCAAAACAGUAGAUAAUAUGUUGGGGAACGUAGUAAUUUCGAAAAUUUUCCUACGCACACGCAAGAUCAUGGUGAUGCAUAGCAACGAGGGGGAGAGUGUUGUCUACGUACCAACGCAGACCGACUGCGGAAGCGAUCACACAACAUAGAGGAAGUAGUCGUACAUCUUCUUCCCGAUCCAACCGAUCCAAGCACCGUUACUCCGGCACCUCCGAGUUCUUAGCACACGUUCAGCUCGAUGACGAUCCUCGUGCUCCGAUCCAGCAAAGCGUCGAGGAAGAGUUCCGUCAGCACAACGGCGUGGUGACGAUCUUGAUGUACUACCGACGCAGGGCUUCGCCUAAGCUCUACAACGAUAGGACCGAGGUGGAAUUUGGUGGCAGGGGGCACCGCACACGGCUAAGGAACGAUCAACAAUGAUCAACUUGUGUGUCUAUGGGGUGCCCCCUGCCCCUGUAUAUAAAGGAGCAGGGGGAGGGGUUCGGCCGGCUAGGGAGAGGGCGCGGGAGGAGUCCUACUCCUACCGGGAGUAGGACUCCCCCCUUAAUCCUAUUCCAACUAGGACUCCCAAGGGGAAAAGGAGAGAAAGGGGGGCCGGCCCCUUCUCCUAGUCCUACUAGGACUUGGGGAAAGGGGGGGGGGGCGCGGCCAGCUAUGGGCUGCCCCUUUUCUCUUUUCCACUAAGGCCCAAUAGGCCCAUUUGCCUCCCGGGGGGUUCCGGUAACCCUCCCGGUAUUCCGGUAAAAUCCCGAUUUCACCCGGAACACUUCCGGUGUCCAAACAUAGGCUUCCAAUAUAUAAAUCUUUACGUCUCGACCAUUUCGAGACUCCUCGUCAUGUCCGUGAUCACAUCCGGGACUCCGAACAACCUUCGGUACAUCAAAAUGCAUAAACUCAUAAUAACUGUCAUCGUAACGUUAAGCGUGCGGACCCUACGGUUCGAGAACAAUGUAGACAUGACCGAGACAUGUCUCCGGUCAAUAACCAAUAGCGGGACCUGGAUGCCCAUAUUGGCUCCUACAUAUUCUACGAAGAUCUUUAUCGGUCAGACCGCAUAACAACAUACGUUGUUCCCUUUGUCAUCGGUAUGUUACUUGCCCGAGAUUCGAUCGUCGGUAUCCAAUACCUAGUUCAAUCUCGUUACUGGCAAGUCUCUUUACUCGUUUCCGUAAUACAUCAUCUCAUAACUAACAUCUUAGUUAUUAUGCUUGCAAGGCUUAUGUGAUGUGUAUUACCGAGAGGGCCCAGAGAUACCUCUCCGACAAUCGGAGUGACAAAUUCUAAUCUCGAAAUACGCCAACCCAACAUCUACCUUUGGAGACACCUGUAGUACUCCUUUAUAAUCACCCAGUUACGUUGUGACGUUUGGUAGCACCCAAAGUGUUCGUCCGGUAAACGGGAGUUGCAUAAUCUCAUAGUCAUAGGAACAUGUAUAAGUCAUGAAGAAAGCAAUAGCAACAUACUAAACGAUCGGUGCUAAGCUAAUGAAAUGGGUCAUGUCAAUCAGAUCAUUCAACUAAUGAUGUGACCUCAUUAAUCAAAUAACAACUCUUUGUUCAUGGUUAGGAAACAUAACCAUCUUUGAUUAACGAGCUAGUCAAGUAGAGGCAUACUAGCGACACUCUGUUUGUCUAUGUACUCACACAUGUAUUAUGUUUCCGGUUAAUACAAUUCUAGCAUGAAUAAUAAACAUUUAUUAUGAUAUAAGGGAAUAAAUAAUAACUUUAUUAUUGCCUCUAGGGCAUAUUUCCUUCAGAGUCCCACUUGCACUAGAGUCAAUAAUCUAGAUCACAUCUCCAUGUGAUUAACAUCGAUAGUUCACAUCAUCAUGUGAUUAACACCCAUAGUUCACAUCGCCAUGUGACCAACACCCAAAAGGUUUACUAGAUUCGGUAAUCUAGUUCACAUCGUUAUGUGAUUAACACCCAAAGAGUACUAAGGUGUGAUCAUGUUUUGCUUGUGAGAGAAUUUUAGUCAACAAGUCUGCCACAUUCAGAUCCACAUGUAUUUUGCAAAUUUCUAUGUCAACAAUGCUCUGCAUGGAGCUACUCUAGCUAAUUGCUCCCACUUUCAAUAUGUAUCUAGACCGAGACUUAGAGUCAUCUAGAUUAAUGUCAAAACUUGCAUCGGCGUAACCCUUUACGACGAACCUUUUUAUCACGUCCAUAAUCGAGAAACAUAUCCUUAUUUCACUAAGGAUAAUUCUGACCGUUGUCCAGUGAUCUACUCCUAGAUCACUAUUGUACUCCCUUGCCAAAUCAGUGCAGGGUAUACAAUAGAUCUGGUAUACAGCAUGACAUACUUUAUAGAACCUAUGGCCAAGGCAUAGGGAAUGACUUUCAUUCUCUUUCUAUCUUCUGCCGUGGUCGGGCUUUGAGUCUUACUCAACUUCACACCUUAUAAUACAGGCAAGAACUCUUUCUUUGACUGCUCCAUUUUGAACUACUUCAAAAUCCUAUCAAGGUAUGUACUCAUUGAAAAAACUUAUCAAGCGUCUUGAUCUAUCUCUAUAGAUCUUGAAGCUCAAUAUGUAAGCAGCUUCACCGAAGUCUUUCUUUGAAAAACUCCUUUCAAACACUCCUUUAUGCUUUACAGAAUAAUUCUACAUUAUUUCCGAUCAACAAUAUGUCAUUCACAUAUACUUAUCAGAAAUGUUGUAGUGCUCCCAUUCACUUUCUUGUAAAUACAGGCUUCACCGCAAGUCUGUAUAAAACUAUAUGCUUUGAUCAACUCAUCAAAGCGUAUAUUCCAACUCCGAGAUGCUUGCACCAGUCCACAGAUGGAUCGCUGGAGCUUGCACAUUUUGUUAGCACCUUUCAGAUUGACAAAACCUUCUGUUGCAUCAUAUACAACUCUUCUUUAAUAAAUCCAUUAAGGAAUGCAUUUUUGUUUAUCCAUUUGCCAGAAUUCAUAAAAUGCGGCAAUUACUAACAUGAUUCGGACAGACUCAAGCAUAGAUACGAGUGAGAAGCUCUCAUCGUAGUCAACACCUUGAACUUGUCGAAAACCUUUUGCGACAAUUCUAGCUUUGUAGACAGUAAUAUUACCGUCAGCGUCAGUCUUUUUCUUGAAUAUCCAUUUAUUCUCAAUUGCUUGCCGAUCAUCGGGCAAGUCAACCAAAGUCCAUACUUUGUUCUCAUACAUGGAUCCCAUCUCAGAUUUCAUGGCCUCAAGCCACUUUGCGGAAUCUGGGCUCACCAUCGCUUCUUCAUAGUUCGUAGGUUCAUCAUGAUCUAGUAGCAUGACUUCCAGAAUUGGAUUACCGUACCACUCUAGUGCGGAUCUCACUCUGGUUGAUCUACAUGGUUCAGUAGUAUCUUGUCCUGAAGUUUCAUGAUCAUCAUCAUUAGCUUCCUCACUAAUUGGUAUAGGUGUCGCAGAAAUAGUUUUCUGUGAUGUACUAUUUUCCAAUAAGGGAGCAGGUACAGUUACCUCGUCAAGUUCUACUUUCCUCCCACUCACUUCUUUCGAGAGACACUCCUUCUCUAGAAAUGAUCCAUUCUUAGCAACGAAUGUCUUGCCUUCGGAUCUGUGAUAGAAGGUGUACCCAACAGUCUCCUUUGGGUAUCCUAUGAAGACACAUUUCUCCGAUUUGGGUUUGAGCUUAUCAGGAUGAAACUUUUUCUCAUAAGCAUCGCAACCCCAAACUUCAAGAAACGACAACUUUGGUUUCUUGCCAAACCACAGUUCAGAUUGUGUCGUCUCAACGGACUUAGAUGGUGCCCCUUUUUAACGUGAAUGCAGUUGUCUCUAAUGCAUAACCCCAAAAACGAUAGUGGUAAAUCGGUAAGAAACAUCAUAGAUUGCACUAUAUCCAAUAAAGUACGGUUAUGACGUUCGGACACACCAUUAUGCUGUGGUGUUCCAGGUGGCGUGAGUAGUGAAACUAUUUCACAUUGUUUUAACUGAAGACCAAACUCGUAACUCAAAUACUCUUUUCUACGAUCAGAUCAUAGAAACUUUAUUUUCUUGUUACGAUGAUUUUUCACUUCACUCUGAAAUUCUUUGAACUUUUCAAAUGUUUCAGACUUAUGUUUCAUCAAGUAGAUAUACUCAUAUCUGCUCAAAUCGUCUGUGAAGAUCAGAAAAUAAUGAUACCUGUCGCGAGCCUUAAUAUUCAUCGGACCACAUACAUCAGUAUGUAUGAUUUCCAACAAAUCUGUUUCUUGCUCCAUUGUUCCGAAGAACAGAGUUUUAGUCAUCUUACCCAAAAGGCAUGGUUCGCAAGCAUCAAGUGAUUCAUAAUCAAGUGAUUCCGAAAGCCCAUCAGCAUGGAGUUUCUUCAUGCGCUUUAUACCAAUAUGACCUAAACGGCAGUGCCACAAAUAAGUUGCACUAUCAUUAUUAACUUUGCAUCUUUUGGUUUCAAUAUUAUGAAUAUGUGUAUCACUACGAUCGAGAUCCAACGAACUUGUUUCAUUGGGUGUAUGACCAUCGAAGGUUUUAUUCAUGUAAACAGAACAACAAUUAUUCUCUUACUUAAAUGAAUAACCGUAUUACAAUAAACAUGAUCAAAUCAUAUUCAUGCUCAACGCAAACACCAAAUAACACUUAUUUAGGUUCAACACUAAUCCCGAAAGUAUAGGGAGUGUGCGAUGAUGAUCAUAUCAAUCUUGGAACCACUUCCAACACACAUCGUCACUUCACCCUUAACUAGUCUCUGUUCAUUCUGCAACUCCCGUUUCGAGUUACUACUCUUAGCAACUGAACUAGCAUCAAAUACUGAGGGGUUGCUAUAAACACUAGUAAAGUACACAUCAAUAACAUGUAUAUCAAAUAUACUUAUGUUCACUUUGCCAUCCUUCUUAUCCGCCAAUCACUUGGGGUAGUUCCGCUUCCAGUGACCAGUCCCUUUGCAGUAGAAGCACUUAGUCUCAGGCUUAGGAUCAGACUUGGGCUUCUUCACUUGAGCAGCAACUUGCUUGCCGUUCUUCUUGAAGUUCCCCUUCUUCCCUUUUGCCCCCUUUUUUUCAAACUAGUGGUCUUGUCAACCAUCAACACUUGAUGUUUUUCUUGAUUUCUACCUUCAUCGAUUUCAGCAUCACGAAGAGCUUGGGAAUCGUUUCCGUUAUCCCUUGCAUAUCAUAGUUCAUCACGAAGUUCUACUAACUUGGUGAUGGUGACUAGAGAAUUCUGUCAAUCACUAUCUUAUCUGGAAGAUUAACUCCCACUUGAUUCAAGCGAUUGUAGUACCCAGACAAUCUGAGCACAUGCUCACUAGUUGAGCGAUUCUCCUCCAUCUUUUAGCUAUAGAACUUGUUGGAGACUUCAUAUCUCUCAACUCGGGUAUUUGCUUGAAAUAUUAACUUCAACUCCUGGAACAUCUCAUAUGGUCCAUGACGUUCAAAACGUCUUUGAAGUCCCGAUUCUAAGCCAUUAAGCAUGGUGCACUAAACUAUCAAGUAGUCAUCAUAUUGAGCUAGCCAAACAUUCAUAACGUCUGCAUCUGCUCCUGCAAUAGGUCUGUCACCUAGCGGUGCAUCAAGGACAUAAUUUUUCUGUGCAGCAAUGAGGAUAAACCUCAUAUCACGGAUCCAAUCCAUAUCAUUGCUACUAACAUCUUUCAACACAAUUUUCUCUAGGAACAUAUCAAAAUAAACAUAUGAAAGCAACAACGCGAGCUAUUGAUCUUCAACAUAGAUAUGCUAAUACUACCAGGACUAAGUUCAUGAUAAAUUAAAGUUCAAUUAAUCAUAUUACUUAAGAACUCCCACUUAGAUAGACAUCCCUCUAAUCCUCUAAGUGAUCACGUGAUCCAAAUCAACUAAACCAUAACCGAUCAUCACGUGAGAUGGAGUAGUUUUCAAUGGUGAACAUCGUUAUGUUGAUCAUAUCUACUAUAUGAUUCACGCUCGACCUUUCGGUCUCUGUGUUCCGAGGCCAUAUCUGCAUAUGCUAGGCUCGUCAAGUUUAACCUGAGUAUUCUGCGUGUGCAAAACUGGCUUGCACCCGUUGUAGAUGGACGUAGAGCUUAUCACACCCGAUCAUCACGUGGUGUCUGGGCACGACGAACUUUGGCAACGGUGCAUACUCAGGGAGAACACUUCUUGAUAAUUCAGUAAGAGAUCAUCUUAUAAUGCUACCGUCAAUCAAAGCAAGAUAAGAUGCAUAAAAGAUAAACAUCACAUGCAAUCAAUAUAAGUGAUAUGAUAUGGCCAUCAUCAUCUUGUGCUUGUGAUCUCCAUCUCCAAAGUACUGUCAUGAUCUAUAUCGUCACCGGCAUGACACCAUGAUCUCCAUCAUCUUGAUCUAUAUCAAUGUGUCGUCACGUGGUCGUCUCGCCAACACUUGCUCUUGCAACUAUUGCUAUCGCAUAGCGAUAAAGUAAAGCAAUUAUUGGGCGCUUGCAUCUUAUGCAAUAGAUAGACAACCAUAAGGCUUUUGCCAGUUGCCCAUAACUUCAACAAAACAUGAUCAUCUUAUACAACAACUUAUAACUCAUCACGUUUUGACCAUAUCACAUCACAACAUGCCCUGCAAAAACAAGUUAGACGUCCUCUACUUUGUUGUUGCAAAUUUUACGUGGCUGCUACGGGCUUAGCAAGAACCAAUCUUACCUACGCAUCAAAACCACAACGAUAGUUUGUCAAAUAGACUCCGUUUUAACCUUCGCAAGGACCGGGCGUAGCCACACUCGCUUCAACUAAAGUUGGAGAAACAGUCACCCGCAAGUCACCUAUGUGCAAAGCACGUCGGGGAAACCGGUCUCGCGUAAGCGUACGCGUAAUGUCGGUCCGGGCCGCUUCAUCCAACAAUACCGCCGAACAAAAGUAUGACAUGCUGGUAGGCAGUAUGACUUAUAUCACCCACAACUCACUUGUGUUCUACUCGUGCAUAUAACAUCAAACCAUAAAACCUAGGCUCGGAUGCCACUGUUGGGGAACGUAGUAAUUUCGAAAAUUUUCCUACGCACACGCAAGAUCAUGGUGAUGCAUAGCAACGAGGGGGAGAGUGUUGUCUACGUACCAACGCAGACCGACUGCGGAAGCGAUCACACAACAUAGAGGAAGUAGUCGUACGUCUUCUUCCCGAUCCAACCGAUCCAAGCACCGUUACUCCGGCACCUCCGAGUUCUUAGCACACGUUCAGCUUGAUGACGAUCCUCGUGCUCCGAUCCAGCAAAGCGUCGAGGAAGAGUUCCGUCAGCACAACGGCGUGGUGACGAUCUUGAUGUACUACCGACGCAGGGCUUCGCCUAAGCUCUACAACGAUAUGACCGAGGUGGAAUUUGGUGGCAGGGGGCACCGCACACGGCUAAGGAACGAUCAACAAUGAUCAACUUGUGUGUCUAUGGGGUGCCCCCUGCCCCCGUAUAUAAAGGAGCAGGGGGAGGGGUUCGGCCGGCUAGGGAGAGGGCGCGGGAGGAGUCCUACUCCUACCGGGAGUAGGACUCCCCCCCUUAAUCCUAUUCCAACUAGGACUCCCAAGGGGAAAAGGAGAGAAAGGGGGGCCGGCCCCUUCUCCUAGUCCUACUAGGACUUGGGGAAAGGGGGGGGGGCGUGGCCAGCUAUGGGAUGCCCCUUUUCUCUUUUCCACUAAGGCCCAAUAGGCCCAUUUGCCUCCCGGGGGGUUCCGGUAACCCUCCCGGUAUUCCGGUAAAAUCCCGAUUUCACCCGGAACACUUCCGGUGUCCAAACAUAGGCUUCCAAUAUAUCAAUCUUUACGUCUCGACCAUUUCGAGACUCCUCGUCAUGUACGUGAUCACAUCCGGGACUCCGAACAACCUUCGGUACAUCAAAAUGCAUAAACUCAUAAUAACUGUCAUCGUAACGUUAAGCGUGCGGACCCUACGGUUUGAGAACAAUGUAGACAUGACCGAGACAUGUCUCCGGUCAAUAACCAAUAGCGGGACCUGGAUGCCCAUAUUGGCUCCUACAUAUUCUACGAAGAUCUUUAUCGGUCAGACCGCAUAACAACAUACGUUGUUCCCUUUGUCAUCGGUAUGUUACUUGCCCGAGAUUCGAUCGUCGGUAUCCAAUACCUAGUUCAAUCUCGUUACUGGCAAGUCUCUUUACUCGUUUCUGUAAUACAUCAUCUCAUAACUAACAUCUUAGUUAUUAUGCUUGCAAGGCUUAUGUGAUGUGUAUUACCGAGAGGGCCCAGAGAUACCUCUUUGACAAUCGGAGUGACAAAUUCUAAUCUCGAAAUACGCCAACCCAACAUCUACCUUUGGAGACACCUGUAGUACUCCUUUAUAAUCACCCAGUUACGUUGUGACGUUUGGUAGCACCCAAAGUGUUCCUCCGGUAAACGGGAGUUGCAUAAUCUCAUAGUCAUAGGAACAUGUAUAAGUCAUGAAGAAAGCAAUAGCAACAUACUAAACGAUCGGGUGCUAAGCUAAUGAAAUGGGUCAUGUCAAUCAGAUCAUUCAACUAAUGAUGUGACCUCGUUAAUCAAAUAACAACUCUUUGUUCAUGGUUAGGAAACAUAACCAUCUUUGAUUAACGAGCUAGUCAAGUAGAGGCAUACUAGUGACACUCUGUUUGUCUAUGUACUCACACAUGUAUUAUGUUUCCGGUUAAUACAAUUCUAGCAUGAAUAAUAAACAUUUAUCAUGAUAUAAGGAAAUAAAUAAUAACUUUAUUAUUGCCUCUAGGGCAUAUUUCCUUCAUAAUAUAGCAUGGAGCAAUAAAAAAUUAUAGAUACGUUGGAGACGUAUCAGGCAUCCCCAAGCUUAAUUCCUACUCGUCCUCGAGUAGGUAAAUGAUAAAAAGAGAAUUUUUGAUGCGGAGUGCUACUUGGCAUAAUUUCAAUGCAAAAUUUCUUAAUUGUGGUAUGGAUAUUCAGAUUAGAAAGAUUCAAGACAAAAGUUCAUAUUGACAUAAAGAAUAAUAACACUUCAAGCAUACUAAUAAAGUAAUUAUGUCUUCUCAAAAUAACAUGGCCAAAGAAAGUUAUCCCUACAAAAUCAUAUAGUCUGGCUAUGAUCUAUCUUCACCACACAAAGUAUUUAAAUCAUGCACAACCCCGAUGACAAGCCAAGCAAUUGUUUCAUACUCUAACUUUUUCAAAACUUUUUCAAUCUUCACGCAAUACAUGAUCAUGAGCCAUGGACAUAGCACUAUGUGGAAUAGAAGGGUGGUUGUGGAGAAGACAAAAAGAAGGGAAGAUAGUCUCACAUCAACUAGGCGUAUCAACGGGCUAUGGAGAGGUCCAUCAAUAGAUACCAAUGUGAGCGAGUAGGGAUUGCCAUGCAACGGAUGCACUAGAGCUAUAAGUAUAUGAAAGCUCAUCAAAAGAAACUAAGUGGGUGUGCAUCCAACUCGCUUGCUCACGAAGACCUAGGGCAAUUUGAGGAAGCCCAUCACUGGAAUAUACAAGCCAAGUUCUAUAAUGAAAAAUUCCCACUAGUAUAUGAAAUUGACAUAACGAGAGACUCUCUAUCAUGAAGAUCAUGGUGCUACUUUGAAGCACAAGUGUGGUAAAAGGAUAGUAACAUUGUCCCUUCUCUCUUUUUCUCUCUUUUUUGGGCCUUUUCUCUCUUUUUUAUGGCCUCUUUUUUUUCAUCCGGAGUCUCAUCCCGACUUAUGGGGGAAUCAUAGUCUCCAUCAUCCUUUCCUCACUUGGGACAAUGCUCUAGAAAAUGAUGAUCAUCACACUUUUAUUUCUCUUACAACUCAACAAUUACAACUCGAUACUUAGAACAAAUAUGACUCUAUAUGAAUGCCUCCGGCGGUGUACCGGGAUAUGCAAUGAAUCAAGAGUGACAUGUAUGAAAGAAUUAUGAAUGGUGGCUUUGCCACAAAUACGAUGUCAACUACAUGAUCAUGCUAGCAAUAUGACAAUGAUGGAGUGUGUCAUAAUAAACGGAAUGGUGGAAAGUUGCAUGGCAAUAUAUCUCGGAAUGGCUAUGGAAAUGCCAUGAUAGGUAGGUAUGGUGGCUGUUUUGAGGAAGGUAUAUGGUGGGUGUAUGAUACCGGCGAAAGGUGCGCGGUAUUAGAGAGGCUAGCAAUGGUGGAAGGAUGGGAAAAAGUGCAUAUAAUCCAUGGACUCAACAUUAGUCAUAAAGAACUCAUAUACUUAUUGCAAAAAUCUAGAAGUUAUCAAAGCAAAGUAUUACACGCAUGCUCCUAGGGGGAUAGAUUGGUAGGAAAAGACCAUCUCUCGUCCCCGACCGCCACUCAUAAGGAAGACAAUCAAUAAAUAAAUUAUGCUCCGACUUCAUCACAUAACGGUUCACCAUACGUGCAUGCUACGAGAAUCACAAACUUUAACACAAGUAUUCUUUAAAUUCACAACUACUAAACUAGCAUAACUCUAAUAUUAUCACCUCCAUAUCUCAAAACAAUUAUCAUGCUUCAAUCUUCUCUUAGUAUUCAACGCACUAAAUUUUUUUUUCACAUAUCUUGAACACCAAGCAUAUUUAUAUUAAGCAAAUUACCAUGCUAUUAAGACUCUCAAAAUAAUUUAAGUGAAGCAUGAGAGAUCAAUAGUUUCUUUAAAACAAACCACCACCGUGCUCUAAAAGAUUUAAGUGAAGCACAUAGAGCAAAAUUAUAACGCUCAAAAGAUAUAAGUGAAGUGCAUAGGGCAAAACUACAUAGCUCAAAAGAUUUAAGUGAAGCACAUAGAGAAUUCUAUCAAAUUUUAAUUCAUAGAUGACUCUCUCAAAAGGUGUGUAAAGCAAGGAUGAUUCUGGCACACUAACAAACAAAGACACAAAUAAUACAAGACGCUCCAAGCAAAACACGUAUCAUGUUGGUGAAUAAAAAUAUAGCUCCAAGUAAAUUACCGAUCGAAGUGGACGAAAGAGGGGAUGCCUUCCGGGGCAUCCCCAAGCUUUGACUUUUUGGUGUCCUUGGAUUAUCUUGGGGGUGCCAUGGGCAUCCCCAAGCUUAGGCUCUUGCCACUCCUUGUUCCAUAAUCCAUCAAAAGAACUCACCCAAAACUUGAAAAUUUCACAACACAAAACUCAAUAGAAAUCUCGUGAGCUCCGUUAGAGAAAGAAAACAAAAGACCACUUCAAUGUACUGUAAUGAACUCAUUCUUUAUUUAUUUUGGUGUUAAACCUAAUGUAUUCCAACUUCUCUAUGGAUUAUAAACUAUUUUACUAACCAUAGAUUCAUCAAAAUAAGCAAACAACACACGAAAAACAAAAUCUGUCAAAAACAGAACAGUUUGUAGUAAUCUGUAGCUAGCGCAAGAUAUGGAACCCCAAAAAUUCUAAAAUAAAUUUCUGGAAGUGAGGAAUUUAUCUAUUAAUCAUCUGAAAAAAGAAUUAACUAAAUAGCACUCUUAAAAUAAAAAUGACAGCAGUUCUCGUGAGCGCUAAAGUUUCUGUUUUUUACAGCAAGUUCAACAAGACUUUCCCCAAGUCUUCCCAACGGUUCUACUUGGCACAAACACUAAUUAAGCACAAAAAAACAC
This 27394-nucleotide long non-coding RNA is filed under the name Triticum aestivum (bread wheat). RNAcentral's name for it is "long non-coding RNA (TAES_LNC009774)". Lineage: Eukaryota; Viridiplantae; Streptophyta; Magnoliopsida; Poales; Poaceae. The record is from RNAcentral.